Molecule: ribosomal RNA, 700 nt
Filed under: uncultured bacterium
Lineage: Bacteria
Description: bacterial SSU rRNA
Rfam family: Bacterial small subunit ribosomal RNA
Source: RNAcentral
AGAGUUUGAUCAUGGCUCAGAACGAACGCUGGCGGCAGGCCUAACACAUGCAAGUCGAACGCCCGUAGCAAUACGGGAGUGGCAGACGGGUGAGUAACGCGUGGGAACGUACCCUUCGGUUCGGAAUAACCCAGGGAAACUUGGGCUAAUACCGGAUACGUCCGUAAGGAGAAAGAUUUAUCGCCGAAGGAUCGGCCCGCGUCGGAUUAGCUAGUUGGUGAGGUAACGGCCCACCAAGGCGACGAUCCGUAGCUGGUCUGAGAGGAUGAUCAGCCACACUGGGACUGAGACACGGCCCAGACUCCUACGGGAGGCAGCAGUGGGGAAUAUUGGACAAUGGGCGAAAGCCUGAUCCAGCCAUGCCGCGUGAGUGAAGAAGGCCUUAGGGUUGUAAAGCUCUUUCAGCGGGGAAGAUAAUGACGGUACCCGCAGAAGAAGCCCCGGCUAACUUCGUGCCAGCAGCCGCGGUAAUACGAAGGGGGCUAGCGUUGUUCGGAUUUACUGGGCGUAAAGCGCGCGUAGGCGGGUCACUAAGUCAGGGGUGAAAUCCCGAGGCUUAACCUCGGAACUGCCUUUGAUACUGGUGACCUGGAGAUCGGGAGAGGUUGGUGGAAUUCCGAGUGUAGAGGUGAAAUUCGUAGAUAUUCGGAGGAACACCAGAAGCGAAGGCGGCCAACUGGCCCGAUACUGACGCUGAGGC